GACCAAUGUCCCGCACAGAUGCCGGGUAUUUGGGAGCCCUGUUCUGGAAGGCAGCAGCACCUUUAGAAAUAGCCAUUUCGACAAGUUCCUCCGUGAUGUCUCCCCAUAGUCCAGGGUCUGAUGAGAUGGUUAAAUCCUCCGGCGGCUGCCGAUCGUCCGUUACAUCUGCAUGGACCACCUCGUCCUCCCGAUCACCCUCGUCCUGACUGCCUCCUUUCACGACAGAAGCCGUGUCUGUCAGAGCUUCAUUAACGUUAGCAUCGUUGCUGGUUGGUUUGCGCAUAAAAAAGUUUCCGAUUGAUGGGACAUUUUGAAUUGCGGCUAAGUGUCGCAAUUCUCUCUUUUUUUAGCUUUCUUUUUGCGAAACCGCUUUGCUGAACCCUGUCCAUUUUUGAAUUUUUUGUUUACAUAUAAUUUCGCGCCACUGCCGCUGCGUUAUUGUGGACUCGUCCAUGAUGGGGGGAGGGGGGCCCUACACCCAAAUAACAGGUUUUUUUUUUAUUAAUAAUCCUAUCAGUGGAUCAUUUUGUAUGUGUUUUUAUCUCUACUAGUAUAUUAUGCCGAUAUAAAAUAUUUAAAAUAUAACAAAAAUAGGUUAAGGCUUUAGUCAUUGUCCUGAUCAUUUGGUGCGGCACCAAAAUUGGCUCAAUUUGGCUGGUGCCCCAGGGCACUCGCCCGACUGUAUAUAUGGAUAAUCCGGCCUUGCCGGUGGGAACCUCAGGGCUGGGACCUCUGGUUGAUUGAUUGAUUGAUUUUUUUUUUUUAAUAAUAAUUUCAUUAUUUUCUUGCACAAAACAAUCACAGACAACAUAUACAUACACCACAAGACAACAAACUCACAGGACAAUACAAAAUACAACACAGAGGGGGGUUGGGGGGUGCAGAUCCAUACUUCUAAAUAAAUUCAUUUAAAUGUCCAGUUUCUUAAAAGUGACAUAUUAUGCUAUUUUCACAGCAAGUAAACAUAGCAUUUGAGGUUCCAAAAACGUGUUUUUGAAGCUGUUUGCUUGAAAUAACUUUUAGGAAAAAAAAUCUCGCCUACCGCUAUUCCCUCUGGUUCAGUCCCUUUCAGAAUGCGCUGUUUCAGGGGGUGUAGCUUCAAUGCAAAUGAGGCACCCUGCUCAGUGCAUUUGGACACGCCCUUCUAACAAACUGAUACCAUGGUUACGGAGAGAGUGCAGCGUAGCAUGUGAAAGUAGCGGACAUGGCAGCUUCAGUGGUUCAACCCUAUAUGUUCGAACCUGAAUCGGAUCCUGAAGAAGGAGAGGAGGCUCCUGCAGAACCCCAGACUCCGAGAAUUCAGCAGGAUGCUUCUGAAUGGUGCACAUGUGGAAAUUGUGCCACAAUGCAGUCAGAGCCGGAGAACUUAUGCUGUCAGGAGGUGCCUCAGGUUACAAGACGGCUGGAACAGCUGGAUGAAAGGCCUCCCUGCAUGAUGACCAUCCAGGUUUAGAACCGGUUUGUCUGAAU
Molecule: long non-coding RNA, 1470 nt
Organism: Gadus chalcogrammus (walleye pollock)
Lineage: Eukaryota; Metazoa; Chordata; Actinopteri; Gadiformes; Gadidae
Exons: 3
Source: RefSeq, a predicted model, not a curated record